AACAAAACUAUACAGUGCAACUGUUUUAUCAACUUGUGAACAGAAAUCAAGUUGUGUUUAAAGGAAGGAACCAGAAGCACAUUGUGAAGAGUAAGGAAAGAAGUUAAUGCAAAAGAACCUGUACAAGUUACUUUUACUUUGUAACCAUUAGGCAGAGUUACAAGAUAAGGAACAGUCAAAUGUAUGAUGUUAAAGAGUAGGUUUUUAUCAUGUGUCAUGU
This 220-nucleotide long non-coding RNA is filed under the name Nicotiana benthamiana. RNAcentral's name for it is "long non-coding RNA (NBEN_LNC021838)". Lineage: Eukaryota; Viridiplantae; Streptophyta; Magnoliopsida; Solanales; Solanaceae. The record is from RNAcentral.